This 426-nucleotide long non-coding RNA is filed under the name Rattus norvegicus (Norway rat). Its description in RNAcentral is "long non-coding RNA NONRATT001258". Lineage: Eukaryota; Metazoa; Chordata; Mammalia; Rodentia; Muridae. The record is from RNAcentral.
AACUGUUGCUGCUUUCCGUUUAAUUUUCUUCCAGGAAUGCGGUAUAAACGAAGAGGAGUGGAUAAAAAUGGAAAUGUUGCAAAUUAUGUGGAGACUGAGCAGUUAAUUCAUGUUCAUAAUCAUACUCUGUCGUUUAUUCAAACUCGAGGCUCCGUGCCCGUCUUUUGGAGCCAGGUUGGGUAUCGCUAUAAUCCAAGACCUCGACUAGACAAAAGUACGCACAUCAGUUAUUUGGUUUGCAAGUGAAGGUUUCCAUGGGAAUUUUUAAAUAAAAAUCAGGUGCCAGAUAGGUAUAAAUUUGUUUCAUUUAAAACAAUAACUCUCAGGGCUGGGAUGUGACUGAGGAAUGGUUUGCUGACCAGCCAGCUGGAAGCCCUGUUCAAUCCCUGUACUAAAAACUGCACAACAAAAGCCAACCCUCCCACU